UGGCGGACGGGUGAGUAAUGUCUGGGAAACUGCCUGAUGGAGGGGGAUAACUACUGGAAACGGUAGCUAAUACCGCAUAACGUCGCAAGACCAAAGAGGGGGACCUUAGGGCCUCUUGCCAUCGGAUGAACCCAUAUGGGAUUAGCUUGUAGGUAAGGUAACGGCUUACCUAGGCGACGAUCCCUAGCUGGUCUGAGAGGAUGAUCAGCCACACUGGGACUGAGACACGGCCCAG
RNAcentral lists this ribosomal RNA (235 nucleotides) under uncultured bacterium. RNAcentral describes it as "partial 16S ribosomal RNA". It matches the Rfam family "Bacterial small subunit ribosomal RNA", at positions 96 to 334 of the family's 1533-position model. The record is from RNAcentral.